CGCAUCUGCCGCCGCCACAAGCACCGCACCUCCGCCUCUGCCCCCAACCAUCCCAUCGCCGUCGCCUCUCACCCCCCGCACCCCCGCCCCCUCUCCCAACUACCCCACCGCCGCAGACCGCCCUCCGCUCCGUCCACUGCCGACGUCGCCCCAAGCACCCCACAGCAGCGCCGCCAAGCACCCCACAGCAGCGCCGCCAAGCACCCAACGGACACGGACCACCACCAGCGCUGACCAGCUCCGUCGCCGAGCCACUCCACCGCCGACCACCCUCCUCCACCGAACGCCUUCCCACGCUGCAUCGCAAGAUUCAUCUCUCGAGCAGGCGUCCUCCCCACAAGCUUCACCCGAGCAGCGAGCCGGUCGCCACCACUCCGUCUGCCGUCCCACCUCGCAGUGAGAUAGAAAGAUGGAAGAGGGUGCGGCACAAGGAAAGGGGAUGAGUAUGGAUGCCUCCCCUUACCUCAGGAAAGUGGACCUCAAGAUGUAUUCUAGCCACUAAAACCUCCACUGGAAACAAAACUUUACUAUUAAUUGUUGAACGAGACCAUGAGCAAUGCAGCCUCGACCAUUACAUGUUUGCCUGCGAUUUUCAAACUGAUGAAUUUGGAGCAGAGACACUGAUGAUGUACACAUACCAAUCACCAGGUAUUACAGAUUUCCAACCAGCUGUAUAUGUAGUUGAACACUCUUUCUGGUAUCUGAAACUACACGAACUCUGAAAAAAUGAGUUAGAUGUUGUCACAGACUUUGGAAAGAGGCCAUCCCAUUUUAGCGGAUGGAAAAAUAUUUAUGAGCUAACAAUUGAUGAUAUUUAUAAACCUGUUUCACUAUAAAUAAGAAAAUAAUGCAAAUCAAAAGAUACUCAAGCCUGCAUAGAGUCCAUCGAUAUAGAAAAACCAUUGUGGCUGUAACACUCAGUUACUCACCUAACAGAGUUUGAUCCUGCUCACACUUAUUCCAGCUUUCCGUUGCUUUUCUCAAUUUGAUCCAUGCACGUAGAGAAAGGAGUUCGAAGGAGGAAUUAAACACACGAAGAGAGAGAGAGAGAGAGAGAGGGGUUAAUAGAGAGGAAUCUUCUGCAAUCCACAGGGCAGGGCACAACGUGACUACCUCUACCCGGUGCAAACCCCUUUGCAUCCUCCGUAGAGCAGAGCACAACCAACAGCUCUGUAGCGAUGCAAUGCUUCUGUUACCUGUCCAAAAAGUAAACCCUUCUUCAUCCUCGCCACAUGGAGUGCAGGUUGGCAUCACACUGGAAGAUCUUCUGGUCGAUGCGUAGUUGUACAAGUCAACUAGGAUACAUGGUGAUUCUUCUGUUCAUUGUGACAACACAAUCAAGUGGCUUGAGGCAUGUGGCCCUCUUUGAAUAAUGUAGCUUCACAUGAUGGUGGCGAGUCUUCUAUUCAGAACAUCCCAUGAUUACGGAAAUGGCAUUCAACAAACGGCUGAGCAGAAAUAUACAAAAGUGUGAACAUGCCAUUGUUUCCUAGACAUAGCUAUAGUGAUAAGUCAAGCUCAUACAGUUAGUGUAGCUUAGUUUGAAUACAUAACAUCUUAUUGUCUCAUGUAAAUUAUGUUUACCAAUGUAGUUGUUUGCUACUGAACACAUCUAUGGAUGUUGAGAUCUUGAAUUUUUAGUCUGAAUGUGUUUGAGGUCUGCCA
Long non-coding RNA from Triticum dicoccoides, 1665 nucleotides. RefSeq lists it as uncharacterized. The transcript has 4 exons. Lineage: Eukaryota; Viridiplantae; Streptophyta; Magnoliopsida; Poales; Poaceae. The record is from RefSeq and is a predicted model, not a curated record.